Molecule: ribosomal RNA, 274 nt
Filed under: uncultured bacterium
Lineage: Bacteria
Description: partial 16S ribosomal RNA
Rfam family: Bacterial small subunit ribosomal RNA
Source: RNAcentral
AGACGGAGGGUGCAAGCGUUAAUCGGAAUUACUGGGCGUAAAGCGCUCGUAGGCGGCCUGUUAAGUCGGAUGUGAAAGCCCCGGGCUCAACCUGGGAACUGCAUUCGAAACUGGCAGGCUAGAGUAUAGUAGAGGCAAGUGGAAUUCCGGGUGUAGCGGUGAAAUGCGUAGAUAUCCGGAGGAACAUCAGUGGCGAAGGCGACUUGCUGGACUAAUACUGACGCUGAGGAGCGAAAGCGUGGGGAGCAAACGGGAUUAGAAACCCCGGUAGUCC